AGCCACUACCAAACCCUAACCACCCCCGAAGCCUAAAUCCUCCUCCUCUUCCCAAUCUCUCUAUCUCUCUCUCCUCUCUUUCCGCGAUGGCGCAUCAAAUGUCCCCUUCCGAUCACGACCCCAACUCCGACUCGUCCAAGGCCCGCCUCUACAACCCCUACCAGGAUCUCCAGGUUCCCAUGCGAAACCUCUACCAGCUACCUACCUCCCCGGAGUUCCUCUUCGUCGAAGAGGCUAAACGUCAGCGUCGCUCCUGGGGCGAGAAUCUCACCUUCUACACCGGUUGCUCCUACCUCGCCGGCGC
Molecule: long non-coding RNA, 304 nt
Filed under: Malus domestica (apple)
Lineage: Eukaryota; Viridiplantae; Streptophyta; Magnoliopsida; Rosales; Rosaceae
Description: long non-coding RNA (MDOM_LNC008144)
Source: RNAcentral